GAUGAACGCUGGCGGCGUGCCUAAUACAUGCAAGUCGAGCGAACAGAUGAGGAGCUUGCUCCUCUGACGUUAGCGGCGGGCGGGUGAGUAACACGUGGAUAACCUACCUAUAAGACUGGGAUAACUUCGGGAAACCGGAGCUAAUACCGGAUAAUAUAUUGAACCGCAUGGUUCAAUAGUGAAAGACGGUUUUGCUGUCACUUAUAGAUGGAUCCGCGCCGCAUUAGCUAGUUGGUAAGGUAACGGCUUACCAAGGCAACGAUGCGUAGCCGACCUGAGAGGGUGAUCGGCCACACUGGAACUGAGACACGGUCCAGACUCCUACGGGAGGCAGCAGUAGGGAAUCUUCCGCAAUGGGCGAAAGCCUGACGGAGCAACGCCGCGUGAGUGAUGAAGGUCUUCGGAUCGUAAAACUCUGUUAUUAGGGAAGAACAAAUGUGUAACUAACUAUGCACGUCUUGACGGUACCUAAUCAGAAAGCCACGGCUAACUACGUG
Molecule: ribosomal RNA, 497 nt
Filed under: uncultured bacterium
Lineage: Bacteria
Description: partial 16S ribosomal RNA
Rfam family: Bacterial small subunit ribosomal RNA
Source: RNAcentral